GGUUUUUAUAGUUGAAGAACAACGAUGAUUUUUCAUGUCAUUGGUCAUGGUUAGAGUCUAUGUAAAAACG
Molecule: transfer RNA, 70 nt
Filed under: Presbytis comata comata
Lineage: Eukaryota; Metazoa; Chordata; Mammalia; Primates; Cercopithecidae
Description: tRNA-Glu
Rfam family: tRNA
About the family: Transfer RNA (tRNA) molecules are approximately 80 nucleotides in length.
Source: RNAcentral